This 450-nucleotide ribosomal RNA is filed under the name uncultured bacterium. RNAcentral's name for it is "bacterial SSU rRNA". It matches the Rfam family "Bacterial small subunit ribosomal RNA", at positions 354 to 796 of the family's 1533-position model. The record is from RNAcentral.
GUGGGGAAUUUUGGACAAUGGGCGCAAGCCUGAUCCAGCAAUGCCGCGUGCAGGAAGAAGGCCUUCGGGUUGUAAACUGCUUUUGUACGGAACGAAACGGUCCGGGUUAAUACCCUGGGCUAAUGACGGUACCGUAAGAAUAAGCACCGGCUAACUACGUGCCAGCAGCCGCGGUAAUACGUAGGGUGCAAGCGUUAAUCGGAAUUACUGGGCGUAAAGCGUGCGCAGGCGGUUUUGUAAGACAGGCGUGAAAUCCCCGGGCUCAACCUGGGAAUUGCGCUUGUGACUGCAAGGCUGGAGUGCGGCAGAGGGGGAUGGAAUUCCGCGUGUAGCAGUGAAAUGCGUAGAGAUGCGGAGGAACACCGAUGGCGAAGGCAGCCCCCUGGGAUGACACUGACGCUCAUGCACGAAAGCGUGGGGAGCAAACAGGAUUAGAUACCCUGGUAGUCC